Molecule: ribosomal RNA, 325 nt
Filed under: uncultured bacterium
Lineage: Bacteria
Description: bacterial SSU rRNA
Rfam family: Bacterial small subunit ribosomal RNA
Source: RNAcentral
GAUGAACGCUGGCGGCGUGCUUAAUACAUGCAAGUCGAGCGAAGCACUUUAACGGAAUUCUUCGGAAGGAAGGUAAAGUGACUGAGCGGCGGACAGGUGAGUAACGCGUGAGGAACCUGCCUCGGAGUGGGGAAUAACAGCCCGAAAGGGUUGCUAAUACCGCAUGAUGCAGUUGUGUCGCAUGACACUGACUGCCAAAGAUUUAUCGCUCUGAGAUGGCCUCGCGUCUGAUUAGCUAGUUGGCGGGGUAACGGCCCACCAAGGCGACGAUCAGUAGCCGGACUGAGAGGUUGACCGGUCACAUUGGGACUGAGACACGGCCCAG